RNAcentral lists this long non-coding RNA (358 nucleotides) under Elaeis guineensis (African oil palm). RNAcentral's name for it is "long non-coding RNA (EGUI_LNC011180)". The record is from RNAcentral. Lineage: Eukaryota; Viridiplantae; Streptophyta; Magnoliopsida; Arecales; Arecaceae.
UGUGGCAGUGCUCAACGUGCGAGCAGGCCAUAAAUAUUGUCAAGCGAUAUGGCCAUGGAUGGAAAGGUAUAUCGAGGAUGCUAGACCAGGAUCGUGGCACAAGAGCUUGUGGGGGAAGCUUGGAUAGUAAAACCCGAAGGACUCGGAUGUGUACGAUCAUCUGUAGGUUUGAGGAGCUGCAGGGCGUGUCUGCUUCGUAUUUUAGCUAGGCGGCACUAGAGGUGGGUUUGCCCAAGCCUCAUGCACAAUAGUGGUGUUGCAUGGUCGUGCUAUAUGGAUUUUUGGAUUUGGUAUAUGUAGUACUGAAGGGCAGCUUGGUGGGUUGUGGAUCAGUGACACAGUGGUAAUGUCAUGGCAC